GCCAACAGUCAUUUAUUGUUCACAGUUGAAAUAUUGACAUUCUAAAAUCUUUGAGGCAUCCCUCUGACUAUGGCCGCCAUCAUUCUCGACGGAGGUCUACUGCUGCAAAAGCUCAGUUCGUCGAUAUUCUCUUAGUUCUGUAAAAGUUCAGUUCAUCGAUAUUCUCUUUACAUCUUUCUAUUUCUCAAUCGCAAAUUACAGUAAUACAAAGCAAAUGAAAAGAGAACAGCCAUUCCACCAUUGACAGCUACUAAAAAGCUUGAAAGCUUUGAAUUCAAAUUUGAGUUUUUAAAAAUCAUUAUUUGUUUGGAUUAGGUGUUGUUAAAAAUAAUCGGC
This 336-nucleotide long non-coding RNA is filed under the name Nicotiana benthamiana. RNAcentral's name for it is "long non-coding RNA (NBEN_LNC010918)". Lineage: Eukaryota; Viridiplantae; Streptophyta; Magnoliopsida; Solanales; Solanaceae. The record is from RNAcentral.